Molecule: long non-coding RNA, 2155 nt
Organism: Poecile atricapillus (Black-capped chickadee)
Lineage: Eukaryota; Metazoa; Chordata; Aves; Passeriformes; Paridae
Exons: 4
Source: RefSeq, a predicted model, not a curated record
CUACCGCGGGGGGUGGGGGGUGCUUCGGGACGAUAAAAUCAGCGCCUGUCCUGCCGCCUUCCCCCCACGGCGGCCCCGCUGCCCGUUCCAGCGGCGCGCACCGGGGGCGGCGGGCGGGGGAUGCGCUCGCCCCUUCCCCGGGGAGCGCCGCGGCGAGCGCGGGGCGGGCGGGCCGGCCCCGGCCCCCGGCCCCUGCCUUGGAGUUGGUAUUUUUGUUUUGGUUUGCUGUUGUUUUUUCCGUGGCGCAGCCCUGGGGACGGCGGGCCCCGGGCGGGGAGCCGAGCCGGGCCGGGCUGGGCCGGACCGAGCCCCGCCGGGCCGGUCGGGCUGGGGCCCCAGCGGCGCUUUGGAACGGGGCAGCGGCAGCCGGCAGAGCCCCCUCCCCGCCCGGGGCCGGCGCUGCUCGGGGCCCGGCAGCGCGCAGCCUGUGCUUCCCCCUAUUGCCUUCACCCUCGCUUCAUUUUUUUUCUUUAAUUUUUGACUUUCCUCCUUUUUUUUUUUUUUUUUUUGUUUUGUUUUUUUUUUUUUUUUGUUUUCCCUCUCCCCGCGGCAUCCGGGGCGCGCAGCCGGGCAGGGGAAGGCAGCGCCCGCGCCGGCCCCAUCGCCGGCUCCCAGACCCGCCGCUCUCGGGACCCUUCUGCCUUUCUGCUCUUAUUUUACAACCACCCCCGUCCCCCCCUCCGCCCGUUUUAGCUGCGUUUUAAAACCUAUUUCCAGCCGGAGUUUGCCAUCCUUUCGGUGACUGAGUCAAGUCCUGGCUUGUAAGGGCGAAUGCCUCCUGCGUCUCGCUUCCAGGAGAAGUGAUAUUGCAGAGCUCAGUGCUCGGGGUGGGGGGAAGAAAAGUUUGAGCGAAGUCGCCUGGCGCCAAGUCCGGGCGAGGGGGAAGAGGGGCGAGUGCUGCCAUCGCUGUCCCCGCUCAGCCCGGUGGCUCCGAGCCUCCGGCCGAGCGAGCCACGGCCAGCGAGACCAUCCCUUCUGCCUUCUCUGGGCUUUAAAUCUGUGCUCAGCCUCUCCAGCCUGCGGUGCCCUGCCAGGGCCGGCUGCAGCUGCUCAGGAUGUGGGGUGAGGACUGGCUGUGCCGUUCUGGGCCCUGCCGGGGCUGGAGCAGGAACACCUCCGAGGAAAACAUCAAAACAAGCCCUCGUGUCCAGCUGGGACAGCCCAGGGGCUGCUUCGUGUGGGAGGAAACUGGCAGCUGAUGUGACAAUCCGCAGGAAGGAGAACUUCUGAGAGAUGUAGGAAGCGUGUGAGCAUCCCAGUGAGGAAGGAGGAAUCCUCUGCCCCACGUGUGGUUGGCUCCGUGGGGCUGCUGGGCUGGAGCAGGAGAUGAGAAUCUGGGCUGUGACAGUGAAAUAAAUCCUCGCAGCAUCCCUGAGUUUAUUCCACGUCGUCCUGCUGUGUUGGAGGAAGCGUUUGUGUUUCUCAAAUUUAGGGCAUUUUAUUUAUUUAAAAGAGAGCGGGGGAGAAAGCCACAGAAUUUGAGUUAUUCAUUGCAAAUAUUAUUAUUGGCAUUUCGCUCCUCUUGAGGGGAAAAAAAAAAACCAAGGGGGGAAUCAAAACAUUUCACUGGAAAAUACACCCUGGCUUUGUCCCACCCACAUCUUCAAGGCAAAAAUAAAUAUUUAUUAAGAUAUGGGUUAAAAAUCUUUUUGUUGAGUGUUUUUUCUGGGAGCAGGGGUGGGUUGCCAUAUGCCAGAACCCUGCCACCAGGCUGAAUUUUGGACUUUUUCGGGUUUUUUGCAGGGUGGUUAAGAAACAAGCAGGGGAGCUGCGGGUGCUGCAGGGCUGUGGGGUGUGCUUUGGUCCUGCCUUGUCCGUGGGCUGUGUUCCUGUGAGCAUCCUGGUGCCUUUUCCUGGGGAUUGUGUGUGCUCAGAGUAUUCCCCGAGGCUCCCAGCUGUCUGAAAUCCCCGAAUCAUUCCUGCUAUAAAUAUCCCAGCAGUGAGACAGCAAGAGCUGGUGGCCCUUGGCGAGGGGUUUAACAGGGGUGUGGUGAUGGUGAGGGGACACUGAAGGGUCCCUGUGCCCCAGCUGGGCUCCUCCACUGACCCAAAGCCUGGGAUCCCUCAAACCCCUGCUGCCCAAGUGUUGCAGGGACCCUCUCUGUGAGCUGGGCACCCUAAUUGGGCUCUAAUUAAUCCUUCUCUGGCUCUGAUU